RNAcentral lists this ribosomal RNA (497 nucleotides) under uncultured bacterium. RNAcentral describes it as "partial 16S ribosomal RNA". It matches the Rfam family "Bacterial small subunit ribosomal RNA", at positions 28 to 507 of the family's 1533-position model. The record is from RNAcentral.
GAUGAACGCUGGCGGCGUGCCUAAUACAUGCAAGUCGAGCGAACAGAUGAUGAGCUUGCUCCUCUGACGUUAGCGGCGGACGGGUGAGUAACACGUGGAUAACCUACCUAUAAGACUGGGAUAACUUCGGGAAACCGGAGCUAAUACCGGAUAAUAUAUUGAACCGCAUGGUUCAAUAGUGAAAGUCGGUUUUGCUGUCACUUAUAGAUGGAUCCGCGCCGCAUUAGCUAGUUAGUAAGGUAACGGCUUACCAAGGCAACGAUGCGUAGCCGACCUGAGAGGGUGAUCGGCCACACUGGAACUGAGCCACGGUCCAGACUCCUACGGGAGGCAGCAGUAGGGAAUCUUCCGCAAUGGGCGAAAGCCUGACGGAGCAACGCCGCGUGAGUGAUGAAGGUCUUCGGAUCGUAAAACUCUGUUAUUGGGGAAGAACAAAUGUGUAAGUAACUAUGCACGUCUUGACGGUACCUAAUCAGAAAGCCACGGCUAACUACGUG